This 253-nucleotide ribosomal RNA is filed under the name uncultured bacterium. RNAcentral describes it as "partial 16S ribosomal RNA". It matches the Rfam family "Bacterial small subunit ribosomal RNA", at positions 524 to 776 of the family's 1533-position model. The record is from RNAcentral.
UACGAAGGGGGCUAGCGUUGCUCGGAAUUACUGGGCGUAAAGGGCGCGUAGGCGGAUAGUUUAGUUGGGGGUGAAAGCCCGGGGCUCAACCUCGGAACUGCCUUCAAUACUGGCUAUCUUGAGUACGGGAGAGGUGUGUGGAACUCCGAGUGUAGAGGUGAAAUUCGUAGAUAUUCGGAAGAACACCAGUGGCGAAGGCGACACACUGGCCCGUUACUGACGCUGAGGCGCGAAAGCGUGGGGAUCAAACAGG